CCAAAGGCUCUUUUCAGAGCCCCCUACCAUUUCAAAAAAAGAGCUAG
Sus scrofa (pig) is the source of this 47-nucleotide non-coding RNA. The record is from Rfam. Lineage: Eukaryota; Metazoa; Chordata; Mammalia; Artiodactyla; Suidae.